GCUGUCAUUUUUCUCAUCGCCUACUUCAAUAGCCUACAAUAUUAGCAGGUUAGUUAAAGAUUUUUAGUGUGCUAAUCUUUUCUUUUUGCAAAUAGAGACUGCUCUAAAAUAAAUGAUGGCUUAUGUUUUUAUUUCAUUUGUUGAACUCGUAUAUUCCUCAUCUGUCUUGCACCUGAAUGUUAUUUGUUUCCCUAAUUAUCACAUUUCUCAUCUGAAGUGAUAGUUGUGCUGCAAAUAGUCUCAGGAUUACUUGAUGAUUGUAUACCAAAAUGUUAUAUGGUGCCCUAUUUCGAACACAUAGAUCAAUUUUUCUAAAGCUUAUUUCAGUUAUAAUCUUUGUUGCAGUAGUCUAUACACACUCAAAUAAGAAUUACAUUUUGAUUUUGCUAUUUCAGUACCUUGCUUUUUACUUCACAAGAAAAGGUUGGCCGAGGUCCCUCCUCUAGCGCAAGGAUUUCUACUGCAACGAUUGCAACACACACAGGUAAGAGACGUUCUAUGCUCAUCUCCUCUCUACUUCAUGUUGCUUCAGGUUUUGCCCAGAUGGAUGCAUAUUGUGUAUUUGAAUUGGAUCAGGAGCGAUUCAAAUUUUAAGUAUUAUUAGUAAGUCUCUCUAAUAUUGUAUGCUUAUGGGCUCUUCUUUUGGGCAACAAAGCAAAGAACAGUGGAACAAGGUCCUUAAUUUUCGUUGCACGUUGGAGAUGGAUUCAAUUGAGCGACAAAUCUUAAUCCAAGUCAGAAGGCAAUAACCACCAUUAAUUUCUUUUCUUCUCCUAACAAAAGAAUCUUCUACGAAUCUUACCAAUUUCUAUGAUGACCCAUGGAGGGAGAUCAACUGUCAUAACAAGAUAGACCAUCAUAGAGCUGAGAACAAAAUGCACUAUAGCUUUUUGACCAACCCGAUUCAUUAACUCAGACUUCCAACUUUGAAGGUGAUCUGCAAUCUUGUUCUCUACAUAAAAACAGGAUUACAUUGAUUCAACUCUGAUCUGGUGUUUGACAUUUGUUUUCCCUCUACAUUAGUUUAUCGUUAUUAUAUUUGUAUAGAUUCAUAUUCUUGAGACUAACCUAAUCAACAUUCUUUACAUAAUAAUAUUAUAAGGAGGAUUAAUUUCAUAUACAAUACUAUAUAUAAUGAGAUAAAUCAUUUGGCCUUACGAUAUGUGUAAGAAAUAAUGCUUUGAUAAUUGGCAGCCUAUCAAGAGUUUCAUUAGUGUAGAACAAUUUUUUUGGCUGUUAACAUAGUUUAUAACAUUUGAUGUCGUAAUUUGUUUUGGAAGAAAAUUUAAUCUCAACUUAGAAUUUUUUACCGACAGGUUUAUGGUCUUUUUAUAUCUACAGGUUGUGGAAACUGAGAUCAUUGUAACUCAAAUGAGAGCUUGGCACUUAGCAUAUAGACGCCUCUAGAACCAAUCUAGAAUUACUGUGAGGUAAUUUUAUAUCUUGUUCUGUAAGUUGGAGAAUUAAUAGCUAGCUAGCAUAUGCUUCCUUAAUGAUGUUUUCUUUUUCCAUGCAUCUUCAUAUUACCAAACCCUUUUCUUGCAGGAAAAACGGAUAUAGAGUGAUAAAAGGCAUUAAUGUAAGUACUACAUAAAUGUACUACUUGUAUUUUUUUUAAUAAUCAAUGCUUCAAAAGUCUAUAUAGAUGCUGACGGGUGUCAUGGUUUUUUCAUUAUUGUAAGUUUGUUACAAGCAAGUGCUUUCCCUCACACAACUUCACCUUUUCUUUGCAUGUUUAUUACUUUUGUUUGCUGGUUUUGACUUACAGCGAAUUGUGUAUGCAACUACUGUAGCAUAUCAGUGACCUUCCGAGAAGAUACAAUGGUGUUCUUAGUAGUAACGCUGCUUGAUUUCUAUAGUUGGAGUCAUCAAACAGCUAACAUUUACACUUGAACUAUUUGGUGAAAUGCUUGGGAGAAAGAGGUCAGCAAGAAUGGAGUCAUGGAACAUCGGCAGGAGGGGUGCAGCAGUGGCAAC
This 1977-nucleotide long non-coding RNA is filed under the name Zea mays. Its description in RNAcentral is "long non-coding RNA (ZMAY_LNC005427)". The record is from RNAcentral. Lineage: Eukaryota; Viridiplantae; Streptophyta; Magnoliopsida; Poales; Poaceae.